ACGGGAGGCAGCAGUGGGGGAUAUUGCACAAUGGAGGAAACUCUGAUGCAGCAACGCCGCGUGAGGGAAGAAGGUUUUCGGAUUGUAAACCUCUGUUUUUAGUUAAGAACAAGUGACGGUAGCUAAAGAGGAAGCCACGGCUAACUACGUGCCAGCAGCCGCGGUAAUACGUAGGUGUCAAGCGUUGUCCGGAUUUACUGGGUGUAAAGGGUGCGCAGGCGGGACUGCAAGUUGGAUGUGAAAUACCGAAGCUUAACUUCGGAACUGCAUCCAAAACUGUAGUUCUUGAGUGGAGUAGAGGUAAGCGGAAUUCCGAGUGUAGCGGUGAAAUGCGUAGAUAUUCGGAGGAACACCAGUGGCGAAGGCGGCUUACUGGGAGAGAACUGACGAUGAGGCACGAACGUGUGGGAAGCAAACAGGAUUAGAUACCCUGGUA
RNAcentral lists this ribosomal RNA (436 nucleotides) under uncultured Clostridium sp. RNAcentral describes it as "partial 16S ribosomal RNA". It matches the Rfam family "Bacterial small subunit ribosomal RNA", at positions 341 to 792 of the family's 1533-position model. The record is from RNAcentral. Lineage: Bacteria; Bacillati; Bacillota; Clostridia; Eubacteriales; Clostridiaceae.